UCCCACCCGGCCACAGCGGAAACAUGCU
This 28-nucleotide unclassified non-coding RNA is filed under the name Mus musculus (house mouse). RNAcentral describes it as "oocyte_clustered_small_RNA4558". The record is from RNAcentral. Lineage: Eukaryota; Metazoa; Chordata; Mammalia; Rodentia; Muridae.